ACACUGCUGAGGAGUCUCAUAAUAGGACGAAACGGCCGUCCAGUGC
Non-coding RNA from Schistosoma mansoni, 46 nucleotides. The record is from Rfam. Lineage: Eukaryota; Metazoa; Platyhelminthes; Trematoda; Strigeidida; Schistosomatidae.